ACGUAGGAGACAAGCGUUAUCCGGAGUUACUGGGCGUAAAGGGCGUGUAGGCGGCCUUCUAAGUGGGUUGUGAAAGCGACUGGCUCAACCGGUCGAGGCUGACCCGGACUGGGAAGCUAGAGGGCGGUAGAGGGGUGUGGAAUUCCGGGUGUAGUGGCGAAAUGCGUAGAGAUCCGGAGGAACACCAGAGGCGAAGGCGGCACCCUGGACGACACCAGACGCUGAGACGCGACAGCACGGGGAGCGAACGG
This 251-nucleotide ribosomal RNA is filed under the name uncultured prokaryote. RNAcentral's name for it is "partial 16S ribosomal RNA". It matches the Rfam family "Bacterial small subunit ribosomal RNA", at positions 525 to 775 of the family's 1533-position model. The record is from RNAcentral.